Molecule: ribosomal RNA, 112 nt
Filed under: Heterotermes tenuis
Lineage: Eukaryota; Metazoa; Arthropoda; Insecta; Blattodea; Rhinotermitidae
Source: RNAcentral
AACGACCAUACCACUUUGAAAACACCGGUUCUCGUCCGAUCACCGCAGUUAAGCAAUGUUGGGCAUGGUUAGUACUUGGAUGGGUGACCGCCUGGGAACACCACGUGCUGUU